Long non-coding RNA from Phycodurus eques (leafy seadragon), 408 nucleotides. RefSeq lists it as uncharacterized. The transcript is spliced from 3 exons. The record is from RefSeq and is a predicted model, not a curated record. NCBI's taxonomy places the organism in Eukaryota, Metazoa, Chordata, Actinopteri, Syngnathiformes, Syngnathidae.
CACUACCUCGGAACUGACUGACCAAUGUCUUCAUGAAGACUGAGUCACAUGAGCAGAAAUGGAAAUCCUGGUUGGUGACCGCUUGUCAGUCAACCGCUGAGUUGAGCUUAGAAGACCACUGCAGACAUCACGUCACCGUUCUCACCGGGUCGUCAGCGCGUUUGCGUGGCCGCCUUGAUGUGUCGCGGCUCGGGUGAUGGAGCGUCUUCUUCCUCCGCUGACUUGUGACGCAGCAAACGCAAGACGGACGAUGGUCCGCUGAUGAAAAGGACUUGUUUGUUCAUUCACGCGCAGACGUGCGACGAUGGAUGAAUUGCACCAGAUAAAAUAUCUUCCGCCGAACGAUUGUUUCACGCCGCCGUCCCAACCGGAAGUCGUGGAGGAUUUCAAACAGAUGACAAAUGUCAA